UGCAGUCGAACGCUUUUUCUUUCACCGGAGCUUGCUCCAUCGAAAGAAAAAGAGUGGCGAACGGGUGAGUAACACGUGGGUAACCUGCCCAUCAGAAGGGGAUAACACUUGGAAACAGGUGCUAAUACCGUAUAACACUAUUUUCCGCAUGGAAGAAAGUUGAAAGGCGCUUUUGCGUCACUGAUGGAUGGACCCGCGGUGCAUUAGCUAGUUGGUGAGGUAACGGCUCACCAAGGCCACGAUGCAUAGCCGACCUGAGAGGGUGAUCGGCCACACUGGGACUGAGACACGGCCCAGACUCCUACGGGAGGCAGCAGUAGGGAAUCUUCGGCAAUGGACGAAAGUCUGACCGAGCAACGCCGCGUGAGUGAAGAAGGUUUUCGGAUCGUAAAACUCUGUUGUUAGAGAAGAACAAGGAUGAGAGUAGAACGUUCAUCCCUUGACGGUAUCUAACCAGAAAGCCACGGCUAACUACGUGCCAGCAGCCGCGGUAAUACGUAGGUGGCAAGCGUUGUCCGGAUUUAUUGGGCGUAAAGCGAGCGCAGGCGGUUUCUUAAGUCUGAUGUGAAAGCCCCCGGCUCAACCGGGGAGGGUCAUUGGAAACUGGGAGACUUGAGUGCAGAAGAGGAGAGUGGAAUUCCAUGUGUAGCGGUGAAAUGCGUAGAUAUAUGGAGGAACACCAGUGGCGANNGCGGCUCUCUGGUCUGUAACUGACGCUGNNNUCGAAAGCGUGGGGAGCGAACAGGAUUAGAUACCCUGG
This 760-nucleotide ribosomal RNA is filed under the name Enterococcus gallinarum. Its description in RNAcentral is "bacterial SSU rRNA". It matches the Rfam family "Bacterial small subunit ribosomal RNA", at positions 56 to 790 of the family's 1533-position model. Lineage: Bacteria; Bacillati; Bacillota; Bacilli; Lactobacillales; Enterococcaceae. The record is from RNAcentral.